Molecule: long non-coding RNA, 361 nt
Organism: Physella acuta
Lineage: Eukaryota; Metazoa; Mollusca; Gastropoda; Physidae
Source: RefSeq, a predicted model, not a curated record
AGUGGUAGACUUGACCAUACAAAUAGAAGAACACGUUUGGCAUCAGUUAAAUAAGAGAGGGGAGCAGGCCGCGACUAGACUGGUUAACUACAUGGAAAAUAUCGUCGUUAGAUCUGCUGCAAACAUUACAGUCAUAGUACAAGACACUCUAGCAAUAAUAAUAGCCCAAUCAGAAGCUGACAUACAUUUCCCAAUAGUCCAUGAAGUCGAUGCAGCCUACAACAUAUCGUGGUUAAGAAAAACAAAAAACAGUUUGUAUUUGUCACACAAUGCGAGUCAAACAUUCAAAGGUGCGCUAAACUACUCUAUCAUUGUCUACGACGGGUUGAAAAACAAGUUGAUGGUAAAUCAAGAAAAACAA